UGUAGCUCAGUGGUAGAGCAUGUGCUUUGCAUACACAAGUUCCUUAGUUCAAUUCCCAGCA
RNAcentral lists this transfer RNA (61 nucleotides) under Ictidomys tridecemlineatus (thirteen-lined ground squirrel). RNAcentral describes it as "Spermophilus tridecemlineatus (thirteen-lined ground squirrel) tRNA". It matches the Rfam family "tRNA", at positions 6 to 65 of the family's 71-position model. Rfam says of the family: Transfer RNA (tRNA) molecules are approximately 80 nucleotides in length. The record is from Rfam by way of RNAcentral. Lineage: Eukaryota; Metazoa; Chordata; Mammalia; Rodentia; Sciuridae.